GUGGGGAAUAUUGGACAAUGGGCGAAAGCCUGAUCCAGCCAUGCCGCGUGUGUGAAGAAGGUCUUCGGAUUGUAAAGCACUUUAAGUUGGGAGGAAGGGCAGUAAGUUAAUACCUUGCUGUUUUGACGUUACCGACAGAAUAAGCACCGGCUAACUUCGUGCCAGCAGCCGCGGUAAUACGAAGGGUGCAAGCGUUAAUCGGAAUUACUGGGCGUAAAGCGCGCGUAGGUGGUUUUGUAAGUUGGAGGUGAAAUCCCCGGGCUCAACCUGGGAACUGCCUCCAAAACUGCAUGACUAGAGUACGGUAGAGGGUAGUGGAAUUUCAUGUGUAGCGGUGAAAUGCGUAGAUAUAGGAAGGAACACCAGUGGCGAAGGCGACUACCUGGACUGAUACUGACACUGAGGUGCGAAAGCGUGGGGAGCAAACAGGAUUAGAUACCCCGGUAGUCC
This 450-nucleotide ribosomal RNA is filed under the name uncultured bacterium. Its description in RNAcentral is "partial 16S ribosomal RNA". It matches the Rfam family "Bacterial small subunit ribosomal RNA", at positions 354 to 796 of the family's 1533-position model. The record is from RNAcentral.